CCUACGGGUGACAGCAGUGGGGGAUAUUGCACAAUGGGGGGAACCCUGAUGCAGCGACGCCGCGUGGGGGAAGAAGCGCCUCGGCGCGUAAAGCCCUGUCAGCAGGGAAGAAAAUGAAGGUACCUGAAGCAGAAGCCCCGGCUAACUACGUGCCAGCAGCCGCGGUAAUACGUAGGGGGCAAGCGUUAGCCGGAUUGACUGGGGGUAAAGGGGGCGCAGACGGCGAUGCAAGCCAGGAGUGAAAGCCCGGGGCCGAACCCCGGGACGGCUCGUGCAACUGCGUGGCUGGAGUGCAGGAGGGGCAGGCGGAAUUCCUGGUGUAGCGGUGAAAUGCGUAGAUAUCAGGAGGAACCCCGGUGGCGAAGGCGGCCUGCUGGACUGCAACUGACGUUGAGGCCCGAAAGCGUGGGGAGCAAACCGGAUUAGAUACCCCUGUAGUC
Molecule: ribosomal RNA, 440 nt
Filed under: uncultured bacterium
Lineage: Bacteria
Description: partial 16S ribosomal RNA
Rfam family: Bacterial small subunit ribosomal RNA
Source: RNAcentral